RNAcentral lists this ribosomal RNA (462 nucleotides) under Alloprevotella rava. RNAcentral describes it as "bacterial SSU rRNA". It matches the Rfam family "Bacterial small subunit ribosomal RNA", at positions 337 to 796 of the family's 1533-position model. The record is from RNAcentral. Lineage: Bacteria; Pseudomonadati; Bacteroidota; Bacteroidia; Bacteroidales; Prevotellaceae.
UCCUACGGGAGGCAGCAGUGAGGAAUAUUGGUCAAUGGACGAAAGUCUGAACCAGCCAAGUAGCGUGCAGGAUGACGGCCCUCUGGGUUGUAAACUGCUUUUAGUUGGGAAUAAAAAGAGGGACGUGUCCCUUAUUGUAUGUACCAUCAGAAAAAGGACCGGCUAAUUCCGUGCCAGCAGCCGCGGUAAUACGGAAGGUCCAGGCGUUAUCCGGAUUUAUUGGGUUUAAAGGGAGCGCAGGCGGCGGCGUAAGUCAGUUGUGAAAUCGUGCGGCUUAACCGUGCAAUUGCAGUUGAUACUGCGUCGCUUGAGUGCACACAGGGAUGUUGGAAUUCAUGGUGUAGCGGUGAAAUGCUUAGAUAUCAUGAAGAACUCCGAUCGCGAAGGCAUAUGUCCGGAGUGCAACUGACGCUGAGGCUCGAAAGUGUGGGUAUCAAACAGGAUUAGAUACCCUGGUAGUCC